This 497-nucleotide ribosomal RNA is filed under the name uncultured bacterium. RNAcentral's name for it is "partial 16S ribosomal RNA". It matches the Rfam family "Bacterial small subunit ribosomal RNA", at positions 28 to 507 of the family's 1533-position model. The record is from RNAcentral.
GAUGAACGCUGGCGGCGUGCCUAAUACAUGCAAGUCGAGCGAACGGACGAGAAGCUUGCUUCUCUGAUGUUAGCGGCGGACGGGUGAGUAACACGUGGAUAACCUACCUAUAAGACUGGGAUAACUUCGGGAAACCGGAGCUAAUACCGUAUAAUAUUUUGAACCGCAUGGUUCAAAAGUGAAAGACGGUCUUGCUGUCACUUAUAGAUGGAUCCGCGCUGCAUUAGCUAGUUGGUAAGGUAACGGCUUACCAAGGCAACGAUGCAUAGCCGACCUGAGAGGGUGAUCGCCCACACUGGAGCUGAGACACGGUCAAGACUCCUACGGGAGGCAGCAGUCGGGAAUCUUCCGCAAUGGGCGAAAGCCUGACGGAGCAACGCCGCGUGAGUGAUGAAGGUCUUCGGAUCGUAAAACUCUGUUAUUAGGGAAGAACAUAUGUGUAAGUAACUGUGCACAUCUUGACGGUAACUAAUCAGAAAGCCACGGCUAACUACGUG